ACUGGCUUUCUCGAGGUCCGAGUUGUAAUUUGUAGAAGGUGCUUCGGAUGCAAUAUUGGCACAAGUCCUUGGAAUUGGGCGUCAGAGAGGGUGACAAUCCCGUUUUGGCCGCUAUAUUCAUCCAUGUGAAGUCCUUUCGACGAGUCGAGUUGUUUGGGAAUGCAGCUCAAAAUGGGUGGUAGAUUUCAUCUAAAGCUAAAUAUCAGCCAGAGACCGAUAGCGCACAAGUAGAGUGAUCGAAAGAUGAAAAGCACUUUGAAAAGAGAGUUAAACAGCACGUGAAAUUGUUGAAAGGGAAGCGCUUGCAACCAGACUUGCUUGCAAUAUUCAGCCUCCUGAAAAGGUGGUGCAUUUGUUGCUUGCAGGCCAGCAUCGGUUUCGACGGUUGGACAAAAGCUCAAGGAAAGUAGCUUUGGUAACAAAGUGUUAUAGCCUAAGCAUAAUGCAAUCAGUCGGGACCGAGGAACGCGCUUUUGCGAGGAUGUUGGCAUAAUGGUUGUUAGCGACCCGUCUUGAAACACGGACCAAGGAGUCGACCAAUUAAGCGAGCGUUAGGGUGUAAAACCCACAGCGCGUAAUGAAAGUAAACGUAGGUGGGAAGCUUUAUAGCAGCACCAUCGACCGAUCUAAGUUCGCGAGGAUUUGAGUAUGAGUUUCAUUGGUCGGACCCGAAAGAAGGUGAACUAUUCCCGAAUAGGUCGAAGUCAGGUGAAAACCUGAUGGAAGACCGCAGCGGUUCUGACGUGCAAAUCGAUCGUCAAAUUUAGGAAUAGGGGCGAAAGACUAAUCGAACCUUCUAGUAGCUGGUUCCUGUCGAAGUUUCCCUCAGGAUAGCAGCAACGAUAAACAGUCUCAUGAGGUAGAGCAACGAUUAGAGGCCUUGGGGUUGAAACAACCUUAACCUAUUCUCGAACUCCGAAUAUGUGAGAAGUCCUUGUUACUUAAUUGAACGGGACAUU
RNAcentral lists this ribosomal RNA (959 nucleotides) under Thelotrema nureliyum. Its description in RNAcentral is "eukaryotic LSU rRNA". It matches the Rfam family "Eukaryotic large subunit ribosomal RNA", at positions 121 to 1109 of the family's 3401-position model. The record is from RNAcentral. Lineage: Eukaryota; Fungi; Ascomycota; Lecanoromycetes; Ostropales; Graphidaceae.